RNAcentral lists this unclassified non-coding RNA (335 nucleotides) under soil metagenome. Its description in RNAcentral is "partial contains 5.8S ribosomal RNA, internal transcribed spacer 2, and large subunit ribosomal RNA". The stretch from base 1 to 120 matches the Rfam family "5.8S ribosomal RNA", at positions 35 to 154 of the family's 154-position model. The record is from RNAcentral.
GAUGAAGAACGUAGCGAAAUGCGAUAAGUAAUGUGAAUUGCAGAAUUCAGUGAAUCAUCGAAUCUUUGAACGCACAUUGCGCCCAUUAGCAUUCUAGUGGGCAUGCCUGUUCGAGCGUCAUUUCAACCCUUAAGCCCUGUUGCUUAGCGUUGGGAGCCUACAGUACUGUAGCUCCCCAAAGUUAGUGGCGGAGUCGGUUUCACACUCUAGACGUAGUAAUUUUUUCUCGUCUGUAGUUGAGCCGGUCCCCUGCCGUAAAACACCCAAUUUAUCAAGGUUGACCUCGGAUCAGGUAGGAAUACCCGCUGAACUUAGGCAUAUCAAUAAGCGGAGGA